Long non-coding RNA from Mus caroli (Ryukyu mouse), 2203 nucleotides. RefSeq lists it as uncharacterized. The record is from RefSeq and is a predicted model, not a curated record. Lineage: Eukaryota; Metazoa; Chordata; Mammalia; Rodentia; Muridae.
UCAAGAUGAAGGCAGUGUGCUCUUAGUUUCUCCCCAAAGGCUUAAGCUCUCUGGAGAAGUAGCUCUAGACGUGAGGAUGGAUGUGGUCUGGUGGCCCUGGUCUUGGAGGAUCCUGGCAUUUGUCUUUUCACUUGUGCUAAGGGUCAUGUUUCCUUAGCCAUCAAGAAGUCUGCAAACAACCCUGGUUUAUAUGUCUGAUGGAGAAGGAUUCAAUAGCGAGAGGGAAUGAGUUCUCUGGGCUGUGGCACUGCUGAGGAUAUGGACAUCUCUAUGAUGAUGGAGUUCUGUAUGGACUUAGCAAGUGCAUCACANNGAACUCAGAAGGAAGAAGAGGGGAAUACGGAGGUAGAAAAUAACAAGGAUUGAAAGUCCAAGAGAAUGUCAUGUACUGGGGCCUAUUAGCAAAAAAGAGAGAUUCUUCUAAAUGAAUCUGGCAGUCAGAUGGCUAACAUCAUACUGAGGAAAGGCAUGAGAAUGGUGUAAGGGCCUACGCUGCCUGCCAUAAAAGUGUUUAUGUAAGCAGCUGGAAGAAGAAGAGGGUUGUGGGUAAGACACAGGCUCCAAAAUCCUUAAUCUUCAUGUUUCAAAGAUUUACAGAAGAGGGUAUCCAGAGACCAAUGAAGAAGAAUAUGGUUUGAGGAUGAUGGGGUUUGCAAAGGCCCGAGGACAAAAAUGAAGGUGAAGAAGGAGAGGUCACCACAGCUCUGGAGUCUUCUGAAGUGUCUUUGAAAUGGAUUCCUGCAAAGCUAAUCUGCUCAGUGUCGCCUACUGGGUUCAGUGACUAUGAAAAGCUGUCUCCCUAAAGCUUUCCCUUCAGAGAGACAAUGGUCUCUUGGAAUUCCAGAUUCUACAAGGUGGCUACCUGGUGCUCUCCAUUUUCACCCUCUCCUUAAAGGCAUGAAUCCAGUCUUGGCCUUCCAACCCACAGCAUAUGUAAACAUCUCUCUCCUUAAGUGAACUUACUGCCACUAUGAACUUGAACUCUGAGACGAAGGAGAGGAGUUUGUUUUAACAGCUGCUUUUACAAUGAAACGCUGGAGUUAGUCCCUCCCAGGACAGCUGGUUCUGAUAGUCUGCUUUUAUACUAUCCUGCUUUUCUCUCAUGCCCAGCUGUGGCCCGCUGACAUUUUGUAAAACAAAGCACAAAACACUAGAAGGGCAAGAGAAUGCUAUUUGUUGGGGGAUAUUCUACACAGGGACCUCUCAGUGCUGACACAGGAGUUGUCUUCAAGUUUACUUUGUUAAAUUUGGUUUUUGGCUAGUUUAUAACUAUGUUUGUUACUAUAAUGGUUAAAUAUAUACUGCUGCCAGGUUGUCCAUCUGGUAGUCACUGCUACAGAAAGUUGUGUAAAAUUUAGGGUGACUAUGGUUAAUAGGUUUAUAAAUUAAGACCUUUAGAAAUGUAACUUCUUACCCCUUAUUUAUAUUUUUAGUGUUUAGGGUUUUGUUCUGAGUGGUAUGGGGACAGAGUUUCAAGUCUGGUCCCUGCUAGUNAUNCCUUACCACUGAGCUAUAUAUACCGCUUACUGCUUUUUAACCUUUUGAAAAAAGCUUUUGGGGCAGGGUGUGGGAAAGCUGCCCAGGCUGAUUUAUUUGGUAGACCAGGCCAAGGCUUGGGAUUCUACUUCCUCAAACGGCCUGGUUGCUGGGAUUACAGGUCUGUGCCACCAGGUCCACUUUAUGUGUUUAGUGUUGGUAACAUGAUACGAGUGACUUCCACAUUGGAAAACAGGAGUACAGAAUAUUUCCUUCACUUCAGGAUGUUGUCAGGCUUGGAUCAAGGCAUGAAGUCUUUCACAGAGGAGCUGUGGGAUGCAGAUCUAGACAGGAAUGGUGGAUGUGUGUUAUCUUCUUCACUCCCAACGGCACAUGUUUAUUUUAGCUGCCAAUUUCUAUUUUAUAAACAUCUAGGAAGGGAAGUUUUGGUUUUAAAGCUGUUCACAACAAUAAUCCCACUUCAAGGGAACUGUAAGGCGCAGAGAAGACAGUGCUCGUUCCACACAUUCCAGGUCUUUUUUAUUGGCCUCUAUUAAAUAACAAGGGGAAAUGUGCCCUCAGAUCACAACUUCCCCAGGACGAGCCUCUGUGUCCCAGCAAGGAGGAGGCAGAGAGCCCAGUCCUCCAUUGGCUGUGGGCCUCAGACCAAUCAACCACAUUUGGGAUAAAAUGCGUGUAGAUUCUAGGACAGGGAUUUAAAAAUAAA